UACGUAGGGUGCAAGCGUUAAUCGGAAUUACUGGGCGUAAAGCGUGCGCAGGCGGUUAUGUAAGACAGAUGUGAAAUGCCCGGGCUUAACCUGGGAACUGCAUUUGUGACUGCAUGGCUAGAAUCUGGCAGAGGGGGGUAGAAUUCCACGUGUAGCAGUGAAAUGCGUAGAUAUGUGGAGGAACACCGAUGGCGAAGGCAGCCCCCUGGGUCAAGAUUGACGCUCGAUGCACGAAAAGCGUGGGGGAGCAAACAGG
RNAcentral lists this ribosomal RNA (256 nucleotides) under uncultured bacterium. Its description in RNAcentral is "partial 16S ribosomal RNA". It matches the Rfam family "Bacterial small subunit ribosomal RNA", at positions 524 to 776 of the family's 1533-position model. The record is from RNAcentral.